AAGUAACACGUGGGUAACCUGCCCAUCAGAAGGGGAUAACACUUGGAAACAGGUGCUAAUACCGUAUAACAAUCGAAACCGCAUGGUUUUGAUUUGAAAGGCGCUUUCGGGUGUCGCUGAUGGAUGGACCCGCGGUGCAUUAGCUAGUUGGUGAGGUAACGGCUCACCAAGGCCACGAUGCAUAGCCGACCUGAGAGGGUGAUCGGCCACAUUGGGACUGAGACACGGCCCAAACUCCUACGGGAGGCAGCAGUAGGGAAUCUUCGGCAAUGGACGAAAGUCUGACCGAGCAACGCCGCGUGAGUGAAGAAGGUUUUCGGAUCGUAAAACUCUGUUGUUAGAGAAGAACAAGGAUGAGAGUAACUGUUCAUCCCUUGACGGUAUCUAACCAGAAAGCCACGGCUAACUACGUGCCAGCAGCCGCGGUAAUACGUAGGUGGCAAGCGUUGUCCGGAUUUAUUGGGCGUAAAGCGAGCGCAGGCGGUUUCUUAAGUCUGAUGUGAAAGCCCCCGGCUCAACCGGGGAGGGUCAUUGGAAACUGGGAGACUUGAGUGCAGAAGAGGAGAGUGGAAUUCCAUGUGUAGCGGUGAAAUGCGUAGAUAUAUGGAGGAACACCAGUGGCGAAGGCGGCUCUCUGGUCUGUAACUGACGCUGAGGCUCGAAAAGCGUGGGGAGCAAACAGGAUUAGAUACCCUGGUAGUCCACGCCGUAAA
RNAcentral lists this ribosomal RNA (713 nucleotides) under Enterococcus durans. Its description in RNAcentral is "bacterial SSU rRNA". It matches the Rfam family "Bacterial small subunit ribosomal RNA", at positions 108 to 806 of the family's 1533-position model. Lineage: Bacteria; Bacillati; Bacillota; Bacilli; Lactobacillales; Enterococcaceae. The record is from RNAcentral.